This 332-nucleotide ribosomal RNA is filed under the name uncultured bacterium. RNAcentral describes it as "bacterial SSU rRNA". It matches the Rfam family "Bacterial small subunit ribosomal RNA", at positions 173 to 507 of the family's 1533-position model. The record is from RNAcentral.
GUAUAUAGACUUCUCCUGAAGUUUAUAUUAAACAUUUAUGGCUAUUAGAUGGGUAUGCGUCCUAUUAGUUAGUUGGUAAGGUAACGGCUUACCAAGGCAGCGAUAGGUAGGGGUCCUGAGAGGGAGAUCCCCACACUGGUACUGAGACACGGACCAGACUCCUACGGGAGGCAGCAGUGAGGAAUAUUGGACAAUGGGCGAGAGCCUGAUCCAGCCAUGCCGCGUGCAGGAAGACUGCCCUAUGGGUUGUAAACUGCUUUUACAGAGGAAGAACCACCCCCACGUGUGGGGGUUUGACGGUACUCUGCGAAUAAGGAUCGGCUAACUCCGUG